Molecule: ribosomal RNA, 1260 nt
Filed under: Paenarthrobacter nitroguajacolicus
Lineage: Bacteria; Bacillati; Actinomycetota; Actinomycetes; Micrococcales; Micrococcaceae
Description: bacterial SSU rRNA
Rfam family: Bacterial small subunit ribosomal RNA
Source: RNAcentral
AACCUGCCCUUGACUCUGGGAUAAGCCUGGGAAACUGGGUCUAAUACCGGAUAUGACCAUCUGACGCAUGUCAUGGUGGUGGAAAGCUUUUGUGGUUUUGGAUGGACUCGCGGCCUAUCAGCUUGUUGGUGGGGUAAUGGCCUACCAAGGCGACGACGGGUAGCCGGCCUGAGAGGGUGACCGGCCACACUGGGACUGAGACACGGCCCAGACUCCUACGGGAGGCAGCAGUGGGGAAUAUUGCACAAUGGGCGGAAGCCUGAUGCAGCGACGCCGCGUGAGGGAUGACGGCCUUCGGGUUGUAAACCUCUUUCAGUAGGGAAGAAGCGAAAGUGACGGUACCUGCAGAAGAAGCGCCGGCUAACUACGUGCCAGCAGCCGCGGUAAUACGUAGGGCGCAAGCGUUAUCCGGAAUUAUUGGGCGUAAAGAGCUCGUAGGCGGUUUGUCGCGUCUGCUGUGAAAGACCGGGGCUCAACUCCGGUUCUGCAGUGGGUACGGGCAGACUAGAGUGCAGUAGGGGAGACUGGAAUUCCUGGUGUAGCGGUGAAAUGCGCAGAUAUCAGGAGGAACACCGAUGGCGAAGGCAGGUCUCUGGGCUGUAACUGACGCUGAGGAGCGAAAGCAUGGGGAGCGAACAGGAUUAGAUACCCUGGUAGUCCAUGCCGUAAACGUUGGGCACUAGGUGUGGGGGACAUUCCACGUUUUCCGCGCCGUAGCUAACGCAUUAAGUGCCCCGCCUGGGGAGUACGGCCGCAAGGCUAAAACUCAAAGGAAUUGACGGGGGCCCGCACAAGCGGCGGAGCAUGCGGAUUAAUUCGAUGCAACGCGAAGAACCUUACCAAGGCUUGACAUGAACCGGAAAGACCUGGAAACAGGUGCCCCGCUUGCGGUCGGUUUACAGGUGGUGCAUGGUUGUCGUCAGCUCGUGUCGUGAGAUGUUGGGUUAAGUCCCGCAACGAGCGCAACCCUCGUUCUAUGUUGCCAGCGCGUUAUGGCGGGGACUCAUAGGAGACUGCCGGGGUCAACUCGGAGGAAGGUGGGGACGACGUCAAAUCAUCAUGCCCCUUAUGUCUUGGGCUUCACGCAUGCUACAAUGGCCGGUACAAAGGGUUGCGAUACUGUGAGGUGGAGCUAAUCCCAAAAAGCCGGUCUCAGUUCGGAUUGGGGUCUGCAACUCGACCCCAUGAAGUCGGAGUCGCUAGUAAUCGCAGAUCAGCAACGCUGCGGUGAAUACGUUCCCGGGCCUUGUACACACCGCC